RNAcentral lists this ribosomal RNA (425 nucleotides) under Acidobacteriota bacterium. Its description in RNAcentral is "Acidobacteria bacterium partial 16S ribosomal RNA". It matches the Rfam family "Bacterial small subunit ribosomal RNA", at positions 355 to 777 of the family's 1533-position model. Lineage: Bacteria; Pseudomonadati; Acidobacteriota. The record is from RNAcentral.
UGAGGAAUAUUGGUCAAUGGGCGUUAGCCUGAACCAGCCAAGUAGCGUGAAGGAUGAAGGCUCUAUGGGUCGUAAACUUCUUUUAUAUAAGAAUAAAGUGCAGUAUGUAUACUGUUUUGUAUGUAUUAUAUGAAUAAGGAUCGGCUAACUCCGUGCCAGCAGCCGCGGUAAUACGGAGGAUCCGAGCGUUAUCCGGAUUUAUUGGGUUUAAAGGGAGCGUAGGUGGACUGGUAAGUCAGUUGUGAAAGUUUGCGGCUCAACCGUAAAAUUGCAGUUGAUACUGUCAGUCUUGAGUACAGUAGAGGUGGGCGGAAUUCGUGGUGUAGCGGUGAAAUGCUUAGAUAUCACGAAGAACUCCGAUUGCGAAGGCAGCUCACUGGACUGCAACUGACACUGAUGCUCGAAAGUGUGGGUAUCAAACAGGA